Molecule: transfer RNA, 72 nt
Filed under: Klebsiella phage vB_KpnM_5N
Lineage: Duplodnaviria; Heunggongvirae; Uroviricota; Caudoviricetes; Pantevenvirales; Straboviridae
Also listed under: 1 other name
Description: tRNA-Gly
Rfam family: tRNA
About the family: Transfer RNA (tRNA) molecules are approximately 80 nucleotides in length. Their secondary structure includes four short double-helical elements and three loops (D, anti-codon, and T loops).
Source: RNAcentral
GCAUCCAUCGUAUAACGGCUAUUAUGGCUGGCUUCCACCCAGCAGAUUGGAGUUCGAUUCUCCAUGGAUGCU